GACGAACGCUGGCGGCGUGCUUAACACAUGCAAGUCGAACGGAAAGGCCCUGCUUUUGUGGGGUGCUCGAGUGGCGAACGGGUGAGUAACACGUGAGUAACCUGCCCUUGACUUUGGGAUAACUUCAGGAAACUGGGGCUAAUACCGGAUAGGAGCUCCUGCUGCAUGGUGGGGGUUGGAAAGUUUCGGCGGUUGGGGAUGGACUCGCGGCUUAUCAGCUUGUUGGUGGGGUAGUGGCUUACCAAGGCUUUGACGGGUAGCCGGCCUGAGAGGGUGACCGGGCACAUUGGGAAUGAGAUACGGCCCCGACUCCUACGGGAGGCAGCAGUGGGGAAUAUUGCAACAUGGGCGGAAGCCUUAUGCAGCAACGCCGGGGGCGGGAUGACGGCCUUCGGGUUGUAAACCGCUUUCGCCUGUGACGAAGCGUGAGUGACGGUAAUGGGUAAAGAAGCACCGGCUAACUACGUG
This 468-nucleotide ribosomal RNA is filed under the name uncultured bacterium. RNAcentral describes it as "partial 16S ribosomal RNA". It matches the Rfam family "Bacterial small subunit ribosomal RNA", at positions 28 to 507 of the family's 1533-position model. The record is from RNAcentral.